AAAGGCCUACCAAGGUCAUUCGAUCAGUAGCUGGUCUGAGAGGAUGAUCAGCCACACUGGGACUGAGACACGGCCCAGACUCCUACGGGAGGCAGCAGUGGGGAAUUUUCCGCAAUGGGCGAAAGCCUGACGGAGCAACGCCGCGUGAGGGAUGAAGGCCUCUGGGCUGUAAACCUCUUUUCUCAAGGAAGAAGAUCUGACGGUACUUGAGGAAUAAGCCA
Molecule: ribosomal RNA, 221 nt
Filed under: uncultured bacterium
Lineage: Bacteria
Description: partial 16S ribosomal RNA
Rfam family: Bacterial small subunit ribosomal RNA
Source: RNAcentral